UCCAGACUCCUACGGGAGGCAGCAGUGGGGGAUAUUGCACAAUGGGGGGAACCCUGAUGCAGCGACGCCGCGUGGGCGAUGGAGUGCUUCGGCAUGUAAAGCCCUAUCAGCAGGGAAGAAAAUGACGGUACCUGACUAAGAAGCCCCGGCUAACUACGUGCCAGCAGCCGCGGUAAUACGUAGGGGGCAAGCGUUAUCCGGAUUUACUGGGUGUAAAGGGAGCGUAGACGGUUACGCAAGUCUGGAGUGAAAGGCGGGGGCCCAACCCCCGGACUGCUUUGGAAACUGUAUAACUGGAGUGCAGGAGAGGUAAGUGGAAUUCCUAGUGUAGCGGUGAAAUGCGUAGAUAUUAGGAGGAACACCAGUGGCGAAGGCGGCUUACUGGACUGUAACUGACGUUGAGGCUCGAAAGCGUGGGGAGCAAACAGGAUUAGAUACCCCGGUAAUU
RNAcentral lists this ribosomal RNA (448 nucleotides) under uncultured bacterium. Its description in RNAcentral is "bacterial SSU rRNA". It matches the Rfam family "Bacterial small subunit ribosomal RNA", at positions 330 to 795 of the family's 1533-position model. The record is from RNAcentral.